UGACCAGCAAGGGAAAUAAUUUGCAGCCUUGAAAGUGAUUUUGCAAAUGCUGGGUUCAUCUCCAUUUUUGCUACCUGGUACCUACUCUGUGUGCUUCAAAUGAAAAACAGAGGUGACCAUCUCCAUGUCCACGAUAGUAGGGGGAUGUGGAGCUGCUUUGAAAUGCUUCUUCUGUGGCCUGUCCCCUAUGUCAUUAUGGCAGUGACUUUUACCCAAAAGCUUUAAUAAGGUACUUUUGAAAAUAAUACAUUUUAGUUAUUUUUCCUUGUAUAUCUGUGCAGCUGUAUUCUAAACAGAUCAUUGUAAUUCAGCCUCUGUUUCUAACAAUGUAAUAAGGAGCUUGUUCACACUUGAAAGGUAAUUCUGAUUAAAGCAGAUGUAAAUUUAAUUUCUGUAGCUAUUAUUAAAUAACUCCACUCGUGGUUGUGCUUAUUUGUGCUCUGCUUAUCUCAAAUAACUUUCAAAUAAAG
This 470-nucleotide long non-coding RNA is filed under the name Manacus vitellinus (golden-collared manakin). Its description in RNAcentral is "lncRNA (ENSMVIG00005020020.1)". Lineage: Eukaryota; Metazoa; Chordata; Aves; Passeriformes; Pipridae. The record is from RNAcentral.